Molecule: RNase P RNA, 367 nt
Filed under: Puniceicoccales bacterium
Lineage: Bacteria; Pseudomonadati; Verrucomicrobiota; Opitutia; Puniceicoccales
Description: RNase P RNA component class A
Rfam family: Bacterial RNase P class A
About the family: Ribonuclease P (RNase P) is a ubiquitous endoribonuclease, found in archaea, bacteria and eukarya as well as chloroplasts and mitochondria. Its best characterised activity is the generation of mature 5'-ends of tRNAs by cleaving the 5'-leader elements of precursor-tRNAs.
Source: RNAcentral
GGGAGGGGAGAGGUAUUCGCUCACGGGUAUUCCCGGGAGAGGAAAGUCCGGACACCACAGAGCGAGAUUCCCGGUGAAAGCCGGGGUGGAAUGGCUCAAACCAUUUCAACGGAAAGCGCAACAGAAAGAAAACCGCCCAUGCAAAUGGGUAAGGGUGAAAAGGUGCGGUAAGAGCGCACCGCAUUGACGAGUAAUCUCAGUGGCACGGCAAGCCCAAUCCGGUGCAAGACAGAAUAGGAAGUGGGGUGGCUCGCCCAUACACUUCGGGUAUGUCGCAUCCAUCAUGGUGGGAGUGUCAAAUGAUGCUAGAUAAAUGAAUACCGCGGCGUCUGCCGUACAGAAUCCGGCUUACACUUCCCUCCCUUGG